RNAcentral lists this long non-coding RNA (289 nucleotides) under Parus major (Great Tit). Its description in RNAcentral is "lncRNA (ENSPMJG00000002645.1)". The record is from RNAcentral. Lineage: Eukaryota; Metazoa; Chordata; Aves; Passeriformes; Paridae.
ACCAGUAGACUAUCUGAGAUUUAUUUUUCUUGUUCAAUAGUGAUUACUUUUAGAAUGAGUGUAAAUGAAAUCCUAAAAUAUAUUGUUUGAGAUGAUUUCAUUUUGAACUUUCUUGUAUCACAGGCAUCAAAGAGUGCACUUCCUUACAAAGUGCUGCACCAAGAAUCCUCAGCCAAGCUUUGAACCUUCAUUGGUGAGAAGCCAGAAAAAGACAGAAGCCAUCACCAGCCAGCAGUGAUGAAAACGUUCAUCAAAAUUUAUGAAAUGCUGCUGGCAAGAAGGUACAAAA